This 497-nucleotide ribosomal RNA is filed under the name uncultured bacterium. RNAcentral's name for it is "partial 16S ribosomal RNA". It matches the Rfam family "Bacterial small subunit ribosomal RNA", at positions 28 to 507 of the family's 1533-position model. The record is from RNAcentral.
GACGAACGCUGGCGGCGUGCCUAAUACAUGCAAGUUGAGCGCUGAAGGUUGGUACUUGUACCAACUGGAUGAGCAGCGAACGGGUGAGUAACGCGUGGGGAAUCUGCCUUUGAGCGGGGGACAACAUUUGGAAACGAAUGCUAAUACCGCAUAAAAACUUUAAACACAAGUUUUAAGUUUGAAAGAUGCAAUUGCAUCACUCAAGGAUGAUCCCGCGUUGUAUUAGCUAGUUGGUGAGGUAAAGGCUCACCAAGGCGAUGAUACAUAGCCGACCUGAGAGGGUGAUCGGCCACAUUGGGACUGAGACACGGCCCAAACUCCUACGGGAGGCAGCAGUAGGGAUUCUUCGGCAAUGGACGAAAGUCUGACCGAGCAACGCCGCGUGAGUGAAGAAGGUUUUCGGAUCGUAAAACUCUGUUGGUAGAGAAGAACGUUGGUGAGAGUGGAAAGCUCAUCAAGUGACGGUAACUACCCAGAAAGGGACGGCUAACUACGUG